CGCCGCGUGAGUGAUGAAGGCUUUCGGGUCGUAAAACUCUGUUGUUAGGGAAGAACAAGUGCUAGUUGAAUAAGCUGGCACCUUGACGGUACCUAACCAGAAAGCCACGGCUAACUACGUGCCAGCAGCCGCGGUAAUACGUAGGUGGCAAGCGUUAUCCGGAAUUAUUGGGCGUAAAGCGCGCGCAGGUGGUUUCUUAAGUCUGAUGUGAAAGCCCACGGCUCAACCGUGGAGGGUCAUUGGAAACUGGGAGACUUGAGUGCAGAAGAGGAAAGUGGAAUUCCAUGUGUAGCGGUGAAAUGCGUAGAGAUAUGGAGGAACACCAGUGGCGAAGGCGACUUUCUGGUCUGUAACUGACACUGAGGCGCGAAAGCGUGGGGAGCAAACAGGAUUAGAUACCCUGGUAGUCCACGCCGUAAACGAUGAGUGCUAAGUGUUAGAGGGUUUCCGCCCUUUAGUGCUGAAGUUAACGCAUUAAGCACUCCGCCUGGGGAGUACGGCCGCAAGGCUGAAACUCAAAGGAAUUGACGGGGGCCCGCACAAGC
RNAcentral lists this ribosomal RNA (545 nucleotides) under Bacillus sp. BWM100-1. RNAcentral's name for it is "bacterial SSU rRNA". It matches the Rfam family "Bacterial small subunit ribosomal RNA", at positions 395 to 930 of the family's 1533-position model. The record is from RNAcentral. Lineage: Bacteria; Bacillati; Bacillota; Bacilli; Caryophanales; Bacillaceae.